This 217-nucleotide long non-coding RNA is filed under the name Carica papaya (papaya). Its description in RNAcentral is "long non-coding RNA (CPAP_LNC004874)". The record is from RNAcentral. Lineage: Eukaryota; Viridiplantae; Streptophyta; Magnoliopsida; Brassicales; Caricaceae.
GCCAAUUGGCCCGUAGUUUGGCUCAAAUUUAGCCACAGGCAGAUUUAGCAUUGAAAUCCGAGCCAAAAGAAAAAUGUUUUACCUCGUUUGGCGGCUGGUAAGUGCUCCGGUGCGGCAGCGGGUGGUGGCGGUCGGUUCCUCCGGUGGCUGGGCUGUUUUCUCCGGCGAGGGCUCUGGCGACUAGGGUUUGGGGUUGGGUGUGGAUGAGAUUAUUUAU